UAGUCGCUGCGUUGUUCGUUUUUAAUAUAUGUUUCAACCUUUAUGCUUAUAUAGGGAGUUUAAUAUUGAGAUUUAGAUGUCUAGCCUUCAUUACGUAGAGGAAGACAGAAGAAUCUUUGCGAACACCCACUUUUAGGAGUGGUGGUUUGGAACUCUAUUAUGAAACGGCAUCGCGGCAUUUAA
Molecule: non-coding RNA, 183 nt
Filed under: Halalkalibacter akibai JCM 9157
Lineage: Bacteria; Bacillati; Bacillota; Bacilli; Caryophanales; Bacillaceae
Description: Bacillus akibai JCM 9157 6S / SsrS RNA
Rfam family: 6S / SsrS RNA
About the family: E. coli 6S RNA was the first non coding RNA to be sequenced, but its function was unknown until recently. It consists of 184 nucleotides that fold into an extended hairpin structure with a large single-stranded internal bulge.
Source: Rfam by way of RNAcentral